Molecule: ribosomal RNA, 912 nt
Filed under: uncultured Variovorax sp.
Lineage: Bacteria; Pseudomonadati; Pseudomonadota; Betaproteobacteria; Burkholderiales; Comamonadaceae
Description: bacterial SSU rRNA
Rfam family: Bacterial small subunit ribosomal RNA
Source: RNAcentral
AGAGUUUGAUCCUGGCUCAGAUUGAACGCUGGCGGCAUGCCUUACACAUGCAAGUCGAACGGCAGCGCGGGAGCAAUCCUGGCGGCGAGUGGCGAACGGGUGAGUAAUACAUCGGAACGUGCCCAAUCGUGGGGGAUAACGCAGCGAAAGCUGUGCUAAUACCGCAUACGAUCUACGGAUGAAAGCAGGGGAUCGCAAGACCUUGCGCGAAUGGAGCGGCCGAUGGCAGAUUAGGUAGUUGGUGAGGUAAAGGCUCACCAAGCCUUCGAUCUGUAGCUGGUCUGAGAGGACGACCAGCCACACUGGGACUGAGACACGGCCCAGACUCCUACGGGAGGCAGCAGUGGGGAAUUUUGGACAAUGGGCGAAGGCCUGAUCCAGCCAUGCCGCGUGCAGGAUGAAGGCCUUCGGGUUGUAAACUGCUUUUGUACGGAACGAAACGGUCUUUUCUAAUACAGAAGGCUAAUGACGGUACCGUAAGAAUAAGCACCGGCUAACUACGUGCCAGCAGCCGCGGUAAUACGUAGGGUGCAAGCGUUAAUCGGAAUUACUGGGCGUAAAGCGUGCGCAGGCGGUUAUGUAAGACAGUUGUGAAAUCCCCGGGCUCAACCUGGGAACUGCAUCUGUGACUGCAUAGCUAGAGUACGGUAGAGGGGGAUGGAAUUCCGCGUGUAGCAGUGAAAUGCGUAGAUAUGCGGAGGAACACCGAUGGCGAAGGCAAUCCCCCGGACCUGUACUGACGCUCAUGCACGAAAGCGUGGGGAGCAAACAGGAUUAGAUACCCUGGUAGUCCACGCCCUAAACGAUGUCAACUGGUUGUUGGGUCUUCACUGACUCAGUAACGAAGCUAACGCGUGAAGUUGACCGCCUGGGGAGUACGGCCGCAAGGUUGAAACUCAAAUGAAUUGACGG